This 254-nucleotide ribosomal RNA is filed under the name uncultured bacterium. RNAcentral's name for it is "partial 16S ribosomal RNA". It matches the Rfam family "Bacterial small subunit ribosomal RNA", at positions 524 to 776 of the family's 1533-position model. The record is from RNAcentral.
UACGUAGGGCGCAAGCGUUGUCCGGAAUUAUUGGGCGUAAAGAGCUCGUAGGCGGCUUGUCGCGUCGGCUGUGAAAACCCGUGGCUCAACCAUGUGGUCUGCAGUCGAUACGGGCAGGCUAGAAUUCGGUAGGGGAGACUGGAAUUCCUGGUGUAGCGGUGAAAUGCGCAGAUAUCAGGAGGAACACCGGUAGCGAAGGCGGGUCUCUGGGCCGAUAUUGACGCUGAGGAGCGAAAGCGUGGGGAGCGAACAGG